Molecule: RNase P RNA, 395 nt
Filed under: Candidatus Lambdaproteobacteria bacterium
Lineage: Bacteria; Pseudomonadati; Pseudomonadota; Candidatus Lambdaproteobacteria
Description: RNase P RNA component class A
Rfam family: Bacterial RNase P class A
About the family: Ribonuclease P (RNase P) is a ubiquitous endoribonuclease, found in archaea, bacteria and eukarya as well as chloroplasts and mitochondria.
Source: RNAcentral
GGAGCCCGAAACGCGGCCGCCGCCGCCCCCUUGCGGGGCGGGGGAGGAAAGUCCGGGCUCCACAGAGCAGGAUGCUGGCUAACGGCCAGUGGGGGCAACCCCAAGGAAAGUGCCACAGAAAACAUACCGCCGAUGGCCCGUCCGGCUUGCCGGGCGCGCACAGGCAAGGGUGAAAAGGUGGGGGCGCAAGCCUUAAUGUAAGAGCCCACCGCGGCCGUGGCGACACGGCCGGCAGGGUAAACCCCAUCCGGAGCAAGUCCAAGCAUGGUGGCCACGGGAUCGCUCGUCCCGCCACCGGGUAGGACGCUGGAGGAUGCCGGCAACGGCAUUCCUAGAGUGAUGGUCGCGACGCCCUUCGCGGGCGCACAGAACCCGGCUUAUUGAAGGCUCCGGCG